This 468-nucleotide ribosomal RNA is filed under the name uncultured bacterium. Its description in RNAcentral is "partial 16S ribosomal RNA". It matches the Rfam family "Bacterial small subunit ribosomal RNA", at positions 28 to 507 of the family's 1533-position model. The record is from RNAcentral.
GACGAACGCUGGCGGCGUGCUUAACACAUGCAAGUCGAACGGAAAGGCCCUGCUUUUGUGGGGUGCUCGAGUGGCGAACGGGUGAGUAACACGUGAGUAACCUGCCCUUGACUUUGGGAUAACUUCAGGAAACUGGGGCUAAUACCGGAUAGGAGCUCCUGCUGCAUGGUGGGGGUUGGAAAGUUUCGGCGGUUGGGGAUGGACUCGCGGCUUAUCAGCUUGUUGGUGGGGUAGUGGCUUACCGAGGCUUUGACGGGUAGCCGGCCUGAGAGGGUGACCGGCCACAUUGGGACUGAGAUACGGCCCAGACUCCUACGGGAGGCAGCAGUGGGGAAUAUUGCACAAUGGGCGGAAGCCUGAUGCAGCAACGCCGCGUGCGGGAUGACGGCCUUCGGGUUGUAAACCGCUUUCGCCUGUGGCGAAGCGUGAGUGACGGUAAUGGGUAAAGAAGCACCGGCUAACUACGUG